This 454-nucleotide ribosomal RNA is filed under the name uncultured bacterium. Its description in RNAcentral is "partial 16S ribosomal RNA". It matches the Rfam family "Bacterial small subunit ribosomal RNA", at positions 28 to 507 of the family's 1533-position model. The record is from RNAcentral.
GAUGAACGCUGACAGAAUGCUUAACACAUGCAAGUCCACUUGAACUUCGGUUUGGGUGGCGGACGGGUGAGUAACGCGUAAAGAACUUGCCUCACAGAUAGGGACAACAUUUGGAAACGAAUGCUAAUACCUGAUAUUAUGAUUAUAUGGCAUCGUAUAAUUAUGAAAGCUAUAUGCGCUGUGAGAGAGCUUUGCGUCCCAGUAGCUAGUUGGAGAGGUAACGGCUCACAAAGGCGAUGAUGGGUAGCCGGCCUGAGAGGGUGAUCGGCCACAAGGGGACGGAGACACGGCCCUUACUCCUACGGGAGGAAGCGGUGGGGAAUAUUGGACAAUGGACCAAGAGUCUGAUCCAGCAAUUCUGUGUGCACGAUGAAGUUUUUCGGAAUGUAAAGUGCUUUCAGUUGGGAAGAAAAAAAUGACGGUACCAACAGAAGAAGUGACGGCUAAAUACGUG